GUUGCAUGGUGUACCGAAGGUUCGAUUCUUUUUCGAUACUACGUCAUCACAAACGAUUCGGUUCUUUAGCGUUCGAUGCUUUCGAUACUGUAUAUAGCCCAGUCACUAGCUUCAAAUGAGUCAAAUUAGUAGGCGCGAUUUGAUUCAGAUUCAGAUAAACUUAGUGUUCUGAACAAAUGAAUCGAUUCACGCGCAAGCCAGCAGAGCAGCAGCGAGUGUAGAAUGGCGACGGCUAAAAUAACAGAUGUCUCUCGUCCGCGACUUGUGGACAAAACGGGCGCGAGGAGUGAAGUGUGGGAAAAUAGUCUGAGAUGUAGGCAUCUGUUUUUUAUUGAUAUUUUUAUUUUUAAAUAAAAUAACGAAAAUAACGAAAACUGAAAGUGAAACUAAACUACUUUAUUAGCGCUGUUUUCACUCCCGCAGUUGUACAGCAGGGGGGUGUUGUGCCGAUUCUGUCCGCGAAGCGGGAGUCGGAUUCAGUAGCGGAUUCGGCACAAGCGCGGCGGCACCUCGCGGUCCGCGGUGUUAGUUGUAAGCGCUCGCGCUAGCCGCAAAAUAUGACAGAAAACACUGAGAAACUGCAGAAUUAUGUGUGGGACUAGAAUAUGAGCACGAGGAGAUCAAAGAGAACCUUUACCUGUGAGUAGCUCACAUCAGAACACGCAAAUCUCUCUCACUCUCGCUGUGUCUCUCUCUCUGUGUCUCUCUCUCUCGCACGUGAACGCCUCCGCGUUUGACCUGCAGCACUGUGUUUAGCUGUUCUUAAAAAUCAUUUUAAUUAAAUAAUAGUUCUAUGCUUCUAUGUUACAGUGUUAUUUAACAUAAUAGCAGACAAGCACCCUGAUCUCUACAAAGAGCUGAGAAGUCGACAGGUUAGUGGAGUUAGUCAAGAUACACUCUGUCUGUAGCUUUACUAAGAUUUACUAGCGACUGCUUAUUAAAAACGGUAAACGGUUGAUUAAUAAAACGGAGCAGUGAGUGUUAAAAUGAACAUAACAUUGUAAUGUUCUUCUGUCUCUUUAUUUUCCUUAUUCAGAACUUAACUUCUGCCCGCCCGUCAGGUUCACAUAGUCAGGCUACCAUUACCUCUGGUUUUAGUUUUAGUUUUUAGGAAGUGUUUAGAUAAUUAUGUUAUAGUUAAGGUUAUAAUAACGAAACUUGUUUUUUGUUCAAAUGUUUCAUUUUAGAAUAAAAACGUUUGCACCUAUUGUUCAGUGUUCAAUCCAGUUCAGUCAAAAAUAAACAUUUUAUGUUCAGAUAUUUUUAUUGUUUUUUUUUUUUCUUCCAAGUAUCGUUUUGGUAUCGAGAAUCGUGAUACUACAGUUGGUAUCGGUAUCGAAGUCAAAAU
Long non-coding RNA from Astyanax mexicanus (Mexican tetra), 1348 nucleotides. RefSeq lists it as uncharacterized. NCBI's taxonomy places the organism in Eukaryota, Metazoa, Chordata, Actinopteri, Characiformes, Acestrorhamphidae. The record is from RefSeq and is a predicted model, not a curated record. The transcript is spliced from 2 exons.